AAGGCACCACGGCCUCUGGCUCCAUUCCACCCUCCCCGCGCUCUCCUUAAACCUCAGGCUUCUUUUUUCUGCCUGCUGCAGGGCUUCUCAGCCUGGGCUGGAUCCUGGACAGACAGGCCCAGGCAGGCUGUGCACUGUGACCUGGGGCCUUGCUGUGAACAAAGAGGACUUCAAGAGGAGAUGGCCUGGAGGAGUUCGCCUCUGUGGUCAUUUUGCUUCAGCGGACCAGUCAGCAAAUAAUGACUGCCCUUGGUCAUCACUGGGAAGAUAAAGGAUUAUUAAAAGAGGGCCCGGCUGCUUGCAGAUUACACCUGCUACAUUUGGAGUGGAAAGAGGCUUCUCUGUCAGUGCCCCUUGCCCCCAUGGAAAGACACUAAUAGCAAUCUUCAACCAUAAUUGUUUGGUCCAUUUUGUUCUGGACCAAGUUUGCAUAAGUUUUAAGCCUGAAAGUCAAAGAAAAACGAAAUCUUACACGUAAACAUGGCCUUUCCAUCACUUGAAAAAGGCACCCUCUCUCUCUCUUUCUCUCUGCCUCGUAAACACAGCGGUCUUGCUCAGAGCAAUCUUGAGCUCUGAGCUGUGAAGAAUUGCUGUAGGUAGGAAGAAACGUUGGCUCUGGAAUUCAAUUAACUGUCAGCAUUGCUGUUCGAGUCAGGAUGACUCACUCCUCUUCAGCAAAUGGGCAUGGGGGCUGUGAGCCUCCAAGAUUAAUGGUGAUUGAUAAGCCGCUGGAGCUCCAGGACGAAGCCUCCCAGAAUCCUUCCCUCACCCACACACGUUUUUACAUGAAAAUAUAAUAAAGAGAUAGUGGGAGAGGAUGUGUGAGUACAGAGGAGAUGCUGUCAAGAAUUUGCCUGUAUCCUUUUCUUUUAUAUUGAAGUCCGUGCAGAAAGAGCCUGGCUCCUCUACUGCCUCCCCUUC
RNAcentral lists this long non-coding RNA (921 nucleotides) under Pan troglodytes (chimpanzee). RNAcentral describes it as "long non-coding RNA NONPTRT001490". Lineage: Eukaryota; Metazoa; Chordata; Mammalia; Primates; Hominidae. The record is from RNAcentral.